This 439-nucleotide ribosomal RNA is filed under the name uncultured bacterium. RNAcentral describes it as "bacterial SSU rRNA". It matches the Rfam family "Bacterial small subunit ribosomal RNA", at positions 954 to 1392 of the family's 1533-position model. The record is from RNAcentral.
AUGGGAACGCGAAGAACCUUACCUGGUCUUGACAUCCACAGAACUUAGCAGAGAUGCUUUGGUGCCUUCGGGAACUCUGAGACAGGUGCUGCAUGGCUGUCGUCAGCUCGUGUUGUGAAAUGUUGGGUUAAGUCCCGCAACGAGCGCAACCCUUAUCCUUUGUUGCCAGCGGUCCGGCCGGGAACUCAAAGGAGACUGCCAGUGAUAAACUGGAGGAAGGUGGGGAUGACGUCAAGUCAUCAUGGCCCUUACGAGUAGGGCUACACACGUGCUACAAUGGCGCAUACAAAGAGAAGCGACCUCGCGAGAGCAAGCGGACCUCAUAAAGUGCGUCGUAGUCCGGAUUGGAGUCUGCAACUCGACUCCAUGAAGUCGGAAUCGCUAGUAAUCGUAGAUCAGAAUGCUACGGUGAAUACGUUCCCGGGUCUUGUACACACCG